CCUACGGGUGGCAGCAGUGAGGAAUAUUGGUCAAUGGCCGGAAGGCUGAACCAGCCAUGCCGCGUGAAGGGCAGGGCCCUAGGGGCGUUAAACUUCUUUUGUGCGGGAGCAAGAAUGGUCACGUGUGGCCAGACGAGAGUACCGUAGGAAUAAGCAGCGGCGAACUCCGUGCCAGCAGCCGCGGUAAUACGGGGGAUGCAAGCGUUCUCCGGAUUUCUUGGGUUUAAAGGGUGCGUAGGCUGUGAGGUAAGGCAGCGGUGAAAUGCCCCCGCUCAACUGGGUGAAGUGCCAUUGAUACUGCCUUGCUGGACUGCGGAUGCCGUGGGAGGACUGUGUGGUGUAGCGG
This 346-nucleotide ribosomal RNA is filed under the name uncultured bacterium. RNAcentral describes it as "partial 16S ribosomal RNA". It matches the Rfam family "Bacterial small subunit ribosomal RNA", at positions 338 to 681 of the family's 1533-position model. The record is from RNAcentral.